RNAcentral lists this ribosomal RNA (902 nucleotides) under uncultured bacterium. Its description in RNAcentral is "bacterial SSU rRNA". It matches the Rfam family "Bacterial small subunit ribosomal RNA", at positions 77 to 978 of the family's 1533-position model. The record is from RNAcentral.
AGCUUGCUUUUUGCUGACGAGUGGCGCACGGGUGCGUAACGCGUAUACAAUCUGCCUUUUACUGGGGGAUAGCCUUUGGAAACGAAGAAUAAUACCCCAUAGUAUCUAAAUUUCGCAUGUUAUUUAGAUUAAAGCUUCGGCGGUAAGAGAUGAGUAUGCGUUCUAUUAGCUAGAUGGUGUGGUAACGGCACACCAUGGCAACGAUAGAUAGGGGCCCUGAGAGGGGGAUCCCCCACACUGGUACUGAGACACGGACCAGACUCCUACGGGAGGCAGCAGUGAGGAAUAUUGGACAAUGGGCGAAAGCCUGAUCCAGCCAUGCCGCGUGCAGGAAGACUGCCCUAUGGGUUGUAAACUGCUUUUAUACGGGAAGAAACCCACCUACGUGUAGGUGGCUGACGGUACCGUAAGAAUAAGCACCGGCUAACUCCGUGCCAGCAGCCGCGGUAAUACGGAGGAUGCAAGCGUUAUCCGGAAUCAUUGGGUUUAAAGGGUCCGUAGGUGGAUUAGUAAGUCAGAGGUGAAAGCCUGCAGCUCAACUGUAGAACUGCCUUUGAUACUGCUAGUCUUGAAUUAUUGUGAAGUGGUUAGAAUAUGUAGUGUAGCGGUGAAAUGCAUAGAUAUUACAUAGAAUACCGAUUGCGAAGGCAGAUCACUAACAAUAUAUUGACACUGAUGGACGAAAGCGUGGGGAGCGAACGGGAUUAGAUACCCCGGUAGUCCACGCCGUAAACGAUGGUCACUAGCUGUUCGGAUUUCGGUCUGAGUGGCUAAGCGAAAGUGAUAAGUGACCCACCUGGGGAGUACGUUCGCAAGAAUGAAACUCAAAGGAAUUGACGGGGGCCCGCACAAGCGGUGGAGCAUGUGGUUUAAUUCGAUGAUACGCGAGGAACCUUACCAGG